This 253-nucleotide ribosomal RNA is filed under the name uncultured bacterium. RNAcentral's name for it is "partial 16S ribosomal RNA". It matches the Rfam family "Bacterial small subunit ribosomal RNA", at positions 524 to 776 of the family's 1533-position model. The record is from RNAcentral.
UACGUAGGGUGCAAGCGUUGUCCGGAAUUAUUGGGCGUAAAGAGCUCGUAGGUGGCCUGUCGCGUCGGCUGUGAAAACUCGGGGCUCAACUCCGAGCUUGCAGUCGAUACGGGCAGGCUAGAGUUCGGCAGGGGAGACUGGAAUUCCUGGUGUAGCGGUGAAAUGCGCAGAUAUCAGGAGGAACACCGGUGGCGAAGGCGGGUCUCUGGGCCGGAACUGACGCUGAGGAGCGAAAGCGUGGGGAGCGAACAGG